UGGGGAAUUUUGGACAAUGGGCGAAAGCCUGAUCCAGCAAUGCCGCGUGUGUGAAGAAGGCCUUCGGGUUGUAAAGCACUUUUGUCCGGAAAGAAAUCCUUGGCUCUAAUACAGUCGGGGGAUGACGGUACCGGAAGAAUAAGCACCGGCUAACUACGUGCCAGCAGCCGCGGUAAUACGUAGGGUGCAAGCGUUAAUCGGAUUACUGGGCGUAAAGCGUGCGCAGGCGGUUUGCUAAGACCGAUGUGAAAUCCCCGGGCUCAACCUGGGAACUGCAUUGGUGACUGGCAGGCUAGAGUAUGGCAGAGGGGGGUAGAAUUCCACGUGUAGCAGUGAAAUGCGUAGAGAUGUGGAGGAAUACCGAUGGCGAAGGCAGCCCCCUGGGCCAAUACUGACGCUCAUGCACGAAAAGCGUGGGGGAGCAAAACAGGAUUAGAUACCCUGGUAGUCCACGCCCUAAACGAUGUCAACUAGUUGUUGGGGAUUCAUUUCCUUAGUAACGUAGCUAACGCGUGAAGUUGACCGCCUGGGGAGUACGGUCGCAAGAUUAAAACUCAAAUGAAUUGACGGGGUCAUAGCUGUUUCC
RNAcentral lists this ribosomal RNA (586 nucleotides) under uncultured bacterium. Its description in RNAcentral is "partial 16S ribosomal RNA". It matches the Rfam family "Bacterial small subunit ribosomal RNA", at positions 355 to 937 of the family's 1533-position model. The record is from RNAcentral.